ACCGAACGUUAGCGGCGCGCCUAACACAUGCAAGUCGAGCGAGAAAGGGCUUCGGCCCCGGUAAAGCGGCGCACGGGUGAGUAACACGUGGAUAACCUACCCCUUGGUGGUGGAUAACCUUCCGAAAGGAGGGCUAAUACAGCGUAAGACCACGACUUCGAAAGAGGUUGAGGUAAAGUGGGCCUCUGUACACAAGCUCACGCCAGGGGAUGGGUCCGCGGCCCAUCAGCUAGUUGGUAGGGUAACGGCCUACCAAGGCGAAGACGGGUAGCUGGUCUGAGAGGAUGAUCAGCCACACUGGAACUGAGACACGGUCCAGACUCCUACGGGAGGCAGCAGUGGGGAAUCUUGCGCAAUGGACGAAAGUCUGACGCAGCGACGCCGCGUGAGUGAUGAAGGCCUUGGUUGUAAGCUCUGUGGAGAGGGACGAAUAAGUGUCGUCGAAUAGACGGCAUGAUGACGGUACCUUCUUAGUCAAGCACCGGCUAACUCUGUGCCA
This 499-nucleotide ribosomal RNA is filed under the name uncultured bacterium. Its description in RNAcentral is "bacterial SSU rRNA". It matches the Rfam family "Bacterial small subunit ribosomal RNA", at positions 30 to 510 of the family's 1533-position model. The record is from RNAcentral.